Molecule: ribosomal RNA, 392 nt
Filed under: uncultured bacterium
Lineage: Bacteria
Description: bacterial SSU rRNA
Rfam family: Bacterial small subunit ribosomal RNA
Source: RNAcentral
GAACGCGAAAGGGACUUUGGUCCUGAGUAGAGUGGCGCACGGGUGAGUAACGCGUAGAUAAUCUGUCCUUGUGUCUGGAAUAAUACGUCGAAAGGUGUACUAAUACCGGAUAUUCUUGCUUUUCAUAAGUUUAGCAAGCAAAGGUGGCCUCUGACAUAAGCUACUGCAUGAGGAGGAGUCUGCGUACCAUUAGCUAGUAGGUGGGGUAAUGGCCUACCUAGGCUACGAUGGUUAACGGGUCUGAGAGGAUGAUCCGUCACACUGGCACUGGAACACGGGCCAGACUCCUACGGGAGGCAGCAGUGAGGAAUAUUGCGCAAUGGGGGCAACCCUGACGCAGCGACGCCGCGGGAAGGCCUUCGGGUCGUAAAGCUCUGUCAAAGGGAAAGAAA